RNAcentral lists this long non-coding RNA (904 nucleotides) under Ricinus communis (castor bean). RNAcentral's name for it is "long non-coding RNA (RCOM_LNC002181)". The record is from RNAcentral. Lineage: Eukaryota; Viridiplantae; Streptophyta; Magnoliopsida; Malpighiales; Euphorbiaceae.
UCAUUGCAGCCAUUUUUUGGAGGGGGAUUUAUUUGUAUUUUUCACAUUUUAUUAUUAAAAGAAUAAAAACUAACAUAACAAAGAAAUUCUUUUUCCCUCCCCUUCUUUUUCUCUCUCCCUGCCACCCUUUUCUCUCUUCUCCUCCUCCCUACCCCCCCAUUUCCGCCGCCACUUGCCACCUCCUCCAGCCAUCGCAGGUUCCUCCCCUCUCACAUUUCUUGUCGGCGCCGUCUCUCUCUCCCUCCCCCUUGUCGUUCCUUGCCUCAACAAGGAAGAAAAGUCGAUUCACCUUGCUGCCGCCGCCGAACAGCCUCAUGCCGGCGUCUCUUCGCCGAUCUGACGCCGAAAAUGGACUACGGGACCCUGAAAACCUCAAGGCAGCCCUUCCCUACCGAUUUCCCUCCGCCGACAGUAGUAGGUGAGCCUUGCUGGAGCCGAAACUUUCUAGCCUCAAUACAGUGACUUCCGGCAAGUUUCAGGCGAAGAAAUUUGCAUAUUUGGACUCCCUGCAACUCAUUCUUCGAAUAGGCGCCUCUAGAUUCGAAAUUUGACAGUGUUGGCGGUACCAACUUUUAGACUCCAGUGUUUUCUGAACGCACAAAGUUCGGAUUUCGGCUUAGACUUUGAAAAUUAUUAGAAAAUGUUCGGUUAUUAAUUGUUAGUUAUAAUUAAUUAAUUAGUAGUUUAUUUUUAGAAUUACUGGAUAUUAAUUACAGGAGUUAGUAUUUUAUUAUGUAAAUUGAGGCUGUGAUUAAUUAAAUUAAAUAUAAAAAAAAUAUGUCUGAUGUAUCAUAAAAUAAUAUUAUUUUGCCGGACUAUUAAUUUUUGUAUUGUGAUUUGAGUUGUAUUGCGGAGUCGGAAAAUAAUGCAGCUUUGAAGGUUCGACUUUCGUUAAAUAAUUGUG